RNAcentral lists this ribosomal RNA (393 nucleotides) under uncultured bacterium. Its description in RNAcentral is "partial 16S ribosomal RNA". It matches the Rfam family "Bacterial small subunit ribosomal RNA", at positions 523 to 918 of the family's 1533-position model. The record is from RNAcentral.
AUACGGAGGAUCCGAGCGUUAUCCGGAUUUAUUGGGUUUAAAGGGUGCGCAGGCGGGGGAUUAAGUCGGCGGUGAAAUUUUUCAGGUUUACUGUAAAAGGGCCUUCGAAACUGGUUUUCUUUGGUGGAGAUGAAGGAGGCGGAAUUUGGGGUGUAGCGGGGGAAUGCAUAGAUAUGACGAGGAACUCCUAUUGCGAAGGCAGCUUGCUGGGUCGUUACUGACGCUGAUGCUCGAAGGUGCGGGGAUCAAACAGGAUUAGAUACCCUGGUAGUCCGCACAGUAAACUAUGGAUACUCUCUGCCGGCGAUAUAUUGUCGGUGGCCAAGCGAAAGCGUUAAGUAUCCCACCUGGGGAGUACGUUCGCAAGAAUGAAACUCAAAUGAAUUGACGGGG